GAAAUGCGAUAAGUAAUGUGAAUUGCUGAAUUCAGUGAAUCAUCGAAUCUUUGAACGCACAUUGCGCCCGCCAGUAUUCUGGCGGGCAUGCCUGUUCGAGCGUCAUUUCAACCAUCAAGUCCCCGGCUUGUGUUGGGGACCUGCGGCUGCCCGCAGGCCCUGAAAAACAGUGGCGGGCUCGCUGUCACACCGAGCGUAGUAGCAUACAUUCUCGCUCAGGGCGUGCUGCGGGUUCCGGCCGUUAAACGACCUUCAUAACCCAAGGUUGACCUCGGAUCAGGUAGGAAGACCCGCUGAACUUAAGC
RNAcentral lists this unclassified non-coding RNA (305 nucleotides) under plant metagenome. RNAcentral's name for it is "partial contains 5.8S ribosomal RNA, internal transcribed spacer 2, and large subunit ribosomal RNA". The stretch from base 1 to 105 matches the Rfam family "5.8S ribosomal RNA", at positions 50 to 154 of the family's 154-position model. The record is from RNAcentral.